Molecule: ribosomal RNA, 508 nt
Filed under: uncultured bacterium
Lineage: Bacteria
Description: bacterial SSU rRNA
Rfam family: Bacterial small subunit ribosomal RNA
Source: RNAcentral
AGAACGAACGCUGGCGGCGCGUCUUAAGCAUGCAAGUCGGACGGCAAGGGUUGUGCUUGCACAACUCCUAGAGUGGCGGACUGGUGAGUAACGCGUGGGUGACCUGCCCUCGAGAUGGGGAUAGCCAUUAGAAAUAGUGGAUAAUACCGAAUACGCUCAUGACCCUGUGGGAUAUGAGGAAAACAGGCUACGGCCUGGCUCGAGGAUGGGCCCGCGUCCCAUUAGCUAGUUGGUGAGGUAACGGCCCACCAAGGCGACGAUGGGUAUCCGGCCUGAGAGGGUGUACGGACACAUUGGGACUGAGAUACGGCCCAAACUCCUACGGGAGGCAGCAGCUAAGAAUAUUCCGCAAUGGACGAAAGUCUGACGGAGCGACGCCGCGUGGAUGAAGAAAAAGCCGGAAGGUUGUAAAAUCCUUUUGCUGAUGAAGAAUAAGUGUGGUAGGGAAUGACCGCAUGAUGACAUUAGUCGGUGAAUAAGCCCCGGCUAACUACGUGCCAGCCGCCGC